This is a long non-coding RNA of Rhagoletis zephyria (snowberry fruit fly), 115 nucleotides long. RefSeq lists it as uncharacterized. The record is from RefSeq and is a predicted model, not a curated record. NCBI's taxonomy places the organism in Eukaryota, Metazoa, Arthropoda, Insecta, Diptera, Tephritidae.
AACCAUAUUUCUUGCCCGGAAUAGGGAUACAAAUUUUGAGCAGUAACAUCGAUACGUCGAUGUUUCGAUGCAUCCGAGAAAAGAACAUCGAGGCUAAAAUACAUCACCAGAGAAA